GGGUUGUGAGGUUAAGCGACUAAGCGUACACGGUGGAUGCCCUGGCAGUCAGAGGCGAUGAAGGACGUGCUAAUCUGCGAUAAGCGUCGGUAAGGUGAUAUGAACCGUUAUAACCGGCGAUUUCCGAAUGGGGAAACCCAGUGUGUUUCGACACACUAUCAUUAACUGAAUCCAUAGGUUAAUGAGGCGAACCGGGGGAACUGAAACAUCUAAGUACCCCGAGGAAAAGAAAUCAACCGAGAUUCCCCCAGUAGCGGCGAGCGAACGGGGAGCAGCCCAGAGCCUGAAUCAGUGUGUGUGUUAGUGGAAGCGUCUGGAAAGGCGCGCGAUACAGGGUGACAGCCCCGUACACAAAAAUGCACAUGCUGUGAGCUCGAUGAGUAGGGCGGGACACGUGGUAUCCUGUCUGAAUAUGGGGGGACCAUCCUCCAAGGCUAAAUACUCCUGACUGACCGAUAGUGAACCAGUACCGUGAGGGAAAGGCGAAAAGAACCCCGGCGAGGGGAGUGAAAAAGAACCUGAAACCGUGUACGUACAAGCAGUGGGAGCACGCUUAGGCGUGUGACUGCGUACCUUUUGUAUAAUGGGUCAGCGACUUAUAUUCUGUAGCAAGGUUAACCGAAUAGGGGAGCCGAAGGGAAACCGAGUCUUAACUGGGCGUUAAGUUGCAGGGUAUAGACCCGAAACCCGGUGAUCUAGCCAUGGGCAGGUUGAAGGUUGGGUAACACUAACUGGAGGACCGAACCGACUAAUGUUGAAAAAUUAGCGGAUGACUUGUGGCUGGGGGUGAAAGGCCAAUCAAACCGGGAGAUAGCUGGUUCUCCCCGAAAGCUAUUUAGGUAGCGCCUCGUGAAUUCAUCUCCGGGGGUAGAGCACUGUUUCGGCAAGGGGGUCAUCCCGACUUACCAACCCGAUGCAAACUGCGAAUACCGGAGAAUGUUAUCACGGGAGACACACGGCGGGUGCUAACGUCCGUCGUGAAGAGGGAAACAACCCAGACCGCCAGCUAAGGUCCCAAAGUCAUGGUUAAGUGGGAAACGAUGUGGGAAGGCCCAGACAGCCAGGAUGUUGGCUUAGAAGCAGCCAUCAUUUAAAGAAAGCGUAAUAGCUCACUGGUCGAGUCGGCCUGCGCGGAAGAUGUAACGGGGCUAAACCAUGCACCGAAGCUGCGGCAGCGACGCUUAUGCGUUGUUGGGUAGGGGAGCGUUCUGUAAGCCUGCGAAGGUGUGCUGUGAGGCAUGCUGGAGGUAUCAGAAGUGCGAAUGCUGACAUAAGUAACGAUAAAGCGGGUGAAAAGCCCGCUCGCCGGAAGACCAAGGGUUCCUGUCCAACGUUAAUCGGGGCAGGGUGAGUCGACCCCUAAGGCGAGGCCGAAAGGCGUAGUCGAUGGGAAACAGGUUAAUAUUCCUGUACUUGGUGUUACUGCGAAGGGGGGACGGAGAAGGCUAUGUUGGCCGGGCGACGGUUGUCCCGGUUUAAGCGUGUAGGCUGGUUUUCCAGGCAAAUCCGGAAAAUCAAGGCUGAGGCGUGAUGACGAGGCACUACGGUGCUGAAGCAACAAAUGCCCUGCUUCCAGGAAAAGCCUCUAAGCAUCAGGUAACAUCAAAUCGUACCCCAAACCGACACAGGUGGUCAGGUAGAGAAUACCAAGGCGCUUGAGAGAACUCGGGUGAAGGAACUAGGCAAAAUGGUGCCGUAACUUCGGGAGAAGGCACGCUGAUAUGUAGGUGAAGUCCCUCGCGGAUGGAGCUGAAAUCAGUCGAAGAUACCAGCUGGCUGCAACUGUUUAUUAAAAACACAGCACUGUGCAAACACGAAAGUGGACGUAUACGGUGUGACGCCUGCCCGGUGCCGGAAGGUUAAUUGAUGGGGUUAGCCGCAAGGCGAAGCUCUUGAUCGAAGCCCCGGUAAACGGCGGCCGUAACUAUAACGGUCCUAAGGUAGCGAAAUUCCUUGUCGGGUAAGUUCCGACCUGCACGAAUGGCGUAAUGAUGGCCAGGCUGUCUCCACCCGAGACUCAGUGAAAUUGAACUCGCUGUGAAGAUGCAGUGUACCCGCGGCAAGACGGAAAGACCCCGUGAACCUUUACUAUAGCUUGACACUGAACAUUGAGCCUUGAUGUGUAGGAUAGGUGGGAGGCUUUGAAGUGUGGACGCCAGUCUGCAUGGAGCCGACCUUGAAAUACCACCCUUUAAUGUUUGAUGUUCUAACGUUGACCCGUAAUCCGGGUUGCGGACAGUGUCUGGUGGGUAGUUUGACUGGGGCGGUCUCCUCCUAAAGAGUAACGGAGGAGCACGAAGGUUGGCUAAUCCUGGUCGGACAUCAGGAGGUUAGUGCAAUGGCAUAAGCCAGCUUGACUGCGAGCGUGACGGCGCGAGCAGGUGCGAAAGCAGGUCAUAGUGAUCCGGUGGUUCUGAAUGGAAGGGCCAUCGCUCAACGGAUAAAAGGUACUCCGGGGAUAACAGGCUGAUACCGCCCAAGAGUUCAUAUCGACGGCGGUGUUUGGCACCUCGAUGUCGGCUCAUCACAUCCUGGGGCUGAAGUAGGUCCCAAGGGUAUGGCUGUUCGCCAUUUAAAGUGGUACGCGAGCUGGGUUUAGAACGUCGUGAGACAGUUCGGUCCCUAUCUGCCGUGGGCGCUGGAGAACUGAGGGGGGCUGCUCCUAGUACGAGAGGACCGGAGUGGACGCAUCACUGGUGUUCGGGUUGUCAUGCCAAUGGCACUGCCCGGUAGCUAAAUGCGGAAGAGAUAAGUGCUGAAAGCAUCUAAGCACGAAACUUGCCCCGAGAUGAGUUCUCCCUGACUCCUUGAGAGUCCUGAAGGAACGUUGAAGACGACGACGUUGAUAGGCCGGGUGUGUAAGCGCAGCGAUGCGUUGAGCUAACCGGUACUAAUGAACCGUGAGGCUUAACCUUACAACGCCGAAGCUGUU
RNAcentral lists this ribosomal RNA (2932 nucleotides) under Escherichia coli. RNAcentral describes it as "bacterial LSU rRNA". It matches the Rfam family "Bacterial large subunit ribosomal RNA". The record is from RNAcentral. Lineage: Bacteria; Pseudomonadati; Pseudomonadota; Gammaproteobacteria; Enterobacterales; Enterobacteriaceae.